GAUGAACGCUGGCGGCGUGCCUAAUACAUGCAAGUCGAGCGAACAGACGAGGAGCUUGCUCCUCUGACGUUAGCGGCGGACGGGUGAGUAACACGUGGGUAACCUACCUAUAAGACUGGGAUAACUUCGGGAAACCGGAGCUAAUACCGGAUAAUAUAUUGAACCGCAUGGUUCAAUAGUGAAAGACGGUUUUGCUGUCACUUAUAGAUGGAUCCGCGCCGCAUUAGCUAGUUGGUAAGGUAACGGCUUACCAAGGCAACGAUGCGUAGCCGACCUGAGAGGGUGAUCGGCCACACUGGAACUGAGACACGGUCCAGACUCCUACGGGAGGCAGCAGUAGGGAAUCUUCCGCAAUGGGCGAAAGCCUGACGGAGCAACGCCGCGUGAGUGAUGAAGGUCUUCGGAUCGUAAAACUCUGUUAUUAGGGAAGAACAAAUGUGUAAGUAACUAUGCACGUCUUGACGGUACCUAAUCAGAAAGCCACGGCUAACUACGUGC
RNAcentral lists this ribosomal RNA (498 nucleotides) under uncultured bacterium. RNAcentral describes it as "partial 16S ribosomal RNA". It matches the Rfam family "Bacterial small subunit ribosomal RNA", at positions 28 to 508 of the family's 1533-position model. The record is from RNAcentral.